AUUUUGCCCAAUGGACGAAAGUCUGAGGCAGCAACUCCGCGUGAGGGAUGAAGGCUCUCGGGUCGUAAACCUCUUUUCUCAGGGAAGAUCCAAGACGGUACCUGAGGAAUAAGCGACGGCUAACUACGUGCCAGCAGCCGCGGUAAUACGUAGGUCGCAAGCGUUGUCCGGAUUUACUGGGCGUAAAGAGCGCGCAGGCGGCUGGUCAAGUCCGAUGUGAAAUCUCCCGGCUCAACUGGGAAACUGCAUCGGAAACUGAUCGGCUUGAAGGUGGGAGAGGGUAGUGGAAUUCCCGGUGUAGUGGUGAAAUGCGUAGAUAUCUGGAGGAAUACCGGUGGCGAAGGCGGCAUCCUGGACCGACAUUGACGCUGAGGAGCGAAAGCUAGGGGAGCAAAC
RNAcentral lists this ribosomal RNA (396 nucleotides) under uncultured bacterium. Its description in RNAcentral is "bacterial SSU rRNA". It matches the Rfam family "Bacterial small subunit ribosomal RNA", at positions 361 to 773 of the family's 1533-position model. The record is from RNAcentral.